AACCACGAUCAUUUUCUGCAACAUAUUUCAAAUUUGAUUCUUGGUUUAAUUUCCAGAAAGUAACUUUUCAAAAACAUGGAAAAAAGUCGUACAAACAUAUUUUCUUUAUAUUUAAUGAUCACUUUUUUACUAAUAUCAACUUUCAUCACGAUCACUGAAUCAAGCGUCAUAGAUGUUCCGAUUCAAUGUCCUGCUGAUCAUGUACAAGUUGGUGAAAACUGCCGCAAGAAAUUCUGAAUCUAAAAACAGGAAAAUCUGACAGUAAUACAAUUGCAGUACAUAUUUGAGAAACAGUGGAGAGAAUCAUAUAAGCAAAGAAUAAAUUAACAGACAAAAAUAAACUAUCAUGCAAAUAU
Molecule: long non-coding RNA, 356 nt
Organism: Temnothorax curvispinosus
Lineage: Eukaryota; Metazoa; Arthropoda; Insecta; Hymenoptera; Formicidae
Exons: 2
Source: RefSeq, a predicted model, not a curated record